ACAAUGUAAGGGCAGAAAAUUAUUCUAAAAUAACUGAAAAAUGUUAACCUAUAUAUUUCAGAAGCACUACAAACUCCAAGAAAGAUAAAAAAAGAAAAAAGGUGUGGAAACAUCAUCAUAAAACUCCUGAAGAACAAAGAGAAAAAUCACAGUGGGAUAUUUUCAAAAUGAUGGAAGAAAAUAUCUGCCAACGUAUUUCUUUUCAUUGAGACGGAGUCUCGCUCUAUCACCCAGGCUAGAGUGCAAUGACCUGAUCUCAGCUCACUGCAACCUUUGCCUCCCAGGUUCAAGCGAUUCUGCCUCAACCUCCCAAGUAGCUGGGAUUAUAGGUGCGUGCCACCACGCCCAACU
This 351-nucleotide long non-coding RNA is filed under the name Pan troglodytes (chimpanzee). Its description in RNAcentral is "long non-coding RNA NONPTRT003497". The record is from RNAcentral. Lineage: Eukaryota; Metazoa; Chordata; Mammalia; Primates; Hominidae.